Molecule: non-coding RNA, 4461 nt
Organism: Dermacentor albipictus
Lineage: Eukaryota; Metazoa; Arthropoda; Arachnida; Ixodida; Ixodidae
Source: RefSeq, a predicted model, not a curated record
UGAUAGGCUUGAGCUCGAAUAACCUCUCCAGAGGUAAAGCCAAGGUAGCAUCAAGGGAGGAGGGUAGUUUCAUUGCAUGCUCUUUUGUCAGUGCAAAAGUAGUGGCAUGAGAGGGAUUGACGCUUCACUUGGCCUGGUAGUGAGGCAGAAAUGGCAUUUUGUUGUCGGUUUAUGCUACAUUUGGGCACAAUACUAGCCUAUUAUUCAAGCAUUAAUCACAAUUUUGCGAUGCCUGUGAUUGUGCCAGAGCUUUGCCCCUCUAGCAUCAAAUAGCAACCCCAUUCCUUACACUGAAAAAAAGAAAUUGCAUUUUUGAUCCAGUAUUGCAGCACGGGGUGUACAUGUCUAGUUGGUGCUGGACAAAAUGGGCAAGUACUGCAUGCACAGGCUGUGGUGGUUCAUUGGUCGUGGCAUUGUGCUGCUGAGCACGAGGUCACAUGUUCAAUUCCUGUCCGUGUCUGUGCAUUUGACUUUUUCCAAAAUGAACUUGGGUUUGGCUGUUAUGAACCUGGAGUUCCCCGCUGUGGUGCCCCUCAUAGCCUGUGUAUUUCUUUGGGAUGUAAAACCCACUGACUUAAAUUAUUUAAUACAGGGUGUUAAAACCAACUGCUACAUGCCGCCUGUGUGCAUAGUUUAGGCGCAAACAAGCCAGUGGGCAAAUCAAAGAAGCAGCAUUACCUGUAUCCCUGAGUAACAUGACGUUUGGCAUGUUGGCGAUACUUUGCACUAUAAACAUUACUCUGACACAAUGAAUGCCUCUCAUCUCACCUGUGUUUUCUUACACCAUAUGAAAAAGAAGUGGUGUGUCAUUCUUGUAGCUUCUAAAUGAGAAUACAAAUGUGUUUAAAAUUGUGCCAUCGUGCAGAUGCUUUCAAGGAUGCUGUCUUGUAUAUAUGUUCUGUGACCAAUGCACUAGUGAAUAUGGACGACGUGGCCGGCCGGCAACUGUCAAGUAUCGGGCAUCGCUUCAGGGGCGCCUCUACCACUGCCACCAAUGUGAUUAUGCAACCCACAAACCAUCGAACCUUGUAGCACACAAUCGCAUUCACACAGGCGAGCGGCCAUUUCACUGCCACUUAUGCCCCCAGAGCUUCGCACACAAAUGCCAGCUCACGGUACACGUGCGCCUGCACAAAGGUGAGCGACCGUACCAGUGCCCCAUCUGCCCCUUGGCCUUUCUGCAGGCCAGUCAAAUGAAAUGUCACUUGAGGAGUCGUCACCCUGAUGCUACAUAGUGAGACAGUGCGUGUGUUAUCGCUAGUUGGUGCUCCAUGACUACGAGUGGCACAGUGCGAUUUCGGACACAGCCGGAAGAAAGUACACGCACAAGGACCCUUCGAAUGAAAUUCGAUAAUGACGUAAGUGGAGUUUAUGUACAAAUUGGCACAAGGAAAGCCAAUACCCAAACUUGUGUGAGCCCUUGGUAGUUGCAGUUCAUGUGCAGCAAUAGCUGGGGGACGCAGGUGCCUUUUCGAGAUAUUUAAAAGACAUUAGCACUUUUAGCAGUGGUGUGUAGAUCUUACAGAGAUCCACCCAACGUGAUGUGUGUUCCUGGUUUGAAAAGGUAUUGAGAUCUGGGUUUACUGGAUUGCCUGACCAAACAAGAUGCCGUGACCAGUUUCGCAAAGGUGCCCAUGUUUCUCUCUGAAGAUAAGAUUCAGUAUUCCAGAGGAUAUUCAAAUCAUCACCGAUGCUCUACUGUUGUGUUGUGUGGUGAGCAUGUGUUGUGUGGUAAGCAUGUGUUAUGUGAUGAGCAGUUGUUUGGACCCUUGUGUGCUUCCCUGGAGAGGCACCACCCUGCAUCAAGAUUCACUGACACCACCUCGCCCCAUGGGGUCAUGCCACCAGACAGGAAAAAGGACUCGGGACCGCACAAUGCAAAAAAGGCAUCAGCCAUCACCUCCAGGGCCCCCCUACUACUGCCACCAUUGUGAUUAUGUAGCUGACAGACCAUCAUCUCUAGUCAGGCACCGGGUCAUCCACACAGGCGAACGACCAUUCCAGUGCCACAUCUGCACUCGGAGCUUCUCUCAGAAGGCCCACCUCAAGUCACACAUGCGCACGCACACAGGCGAGCGACCUCUCCGCUGCUCUAUGUGUUCCAUGUCCUUCGUGCACUUUGUUCAACGGAGCAGACACAUGAGAAAGCAUCAUCGUCAACAGGAUACUGCACAGUGAAGUAGGCCAUCGCCGUUUUUCAAGUGGAUCUCAAAAAGGAACUUAAUGACAGGCCUAAGUGUGCGUGAAAAGGUCAAGACUUCAUCGUACACCAAGUAGGUGAAGUACCACCGCAUGCUGUCUUUCAUCAUAAUGCGAAGGCACCUCUCUGGACAAUGAAUUGAUCAAGGUGUUUGGUCAUGUUGAGAUGUAGCAUUUCUGCUACCAACAGAUUUUGGGUAUAUUGGAGUAUGAUGGAUGUUGUGUUUAAAAACAUAUUGACAUCUGUAAGUCCAAGUCAGGUUGUAUGCAAGUGAAUACAGUGUCAGUAUUCAGUAGAAUGAGCCACAUCCACUAAUCACAUUUAUUUUCAAGCUGUCCUUGCAAGUUCAUUGUUGUUAAUAAUCUUGGCCAUCUUUAUUUUGCAACAAGUGCCACUUGUAGUUGUUAAAUCUUGUUUUAUUUAUCCGUACCAUGCAGUGUUCCUUUAAGCCUUUGUGCAGCUAGGGUAUAUUGAGUGGUUGUCAGCAUAAAUUUGCCCACGCUUGUGUGAUUGCUACUGUCAGAGCUGCUGUUGCCAUGAAUGACAAGGGACUCUUCUUUGCUUGAGACAUCCCUUUAAGUUGAAGAUUGUCCUUGCAACUUCCCCUCUUAUUUUCCAUAGUUUUCAUAUGGUUACUGCUUCACAUGUUGGUGGUGUUUUUGCAGCAGCCUAUCUUGUAAACGCAGACACUAGUUCCAUUUCUCAUGGCAAUGCAAUUCAUUAUAUAACUAUGUUUUGUACAGUACACUACCGGUAAUUUGACUUCGGUUAAUUAUUUUUCGUUUUAUUCAAUCCUGACCAAAGCUUCAUGCCGUUGCCUGUACAUUUCUACGGGCCAAGACUGUCAUUUCAACCACAAGAUCAACCCUUACCAAAUAUUUAGACGAGCAUGCUGACCCCAGUGGGGAUUCCAGCUGUGAUUUAAAUGGCGUGAGCAUGUGACUUUGCAGCUCUAGAGGAAGUGCAUACGUCAAACACAAAUUAUCUUACAAAGAAAACACAUAUUUUUGGCCUGCCCUCAGCAUAUUUUCAAGUGAAAUUGAGAGAUAACAAUUAAUGGUUAUGGUAUUUAUCCAAUUCUAAUGUGUACCUUUUUCCCAAGAAAAUAGGUUUGAAUGGGGCCCGUGUGUUACUUCGAUAUAAACAUUAAACCGUGUUUGUGGCAUUGACAUUACCUUCCUGUCGGUGCCAUUGUCAUCCCCAUGACAUCACAAGAUGAUGAUGGAGCAAGUUUUUGUGCACUUUGGCAACGAUGACAUGCUGCUUUCAUUACAAAAGCUCAUUCAAAAGAGAAGUUAUUGUGCAUGCUAACCUAAUGGCAACAGAGCAUGCUCUCGGCAUGUCAGAGCCUUGCCUGUGUCAAAGGGUGAAGCUUUAAAAUUUUUAUUCGAGGUGGUAGCCAACUUCCCAUUCAUCAUGGUUGCAAUGACUAUAAAGAAAUGCAGAAUAUCAGAUGCAGUGGGUGGCACGGAAGAUGAUGUCGGGGCCCAUAGCAGUGUUAAAAGCUAGCUGUCUAAGAGUGACAGUGAUGGACAUUGUGGGUAAAUAAAUUUCCAUUGUCUGAAGAAAAGUUUUGCAGGUUCCAUCUUUUUCUGCUUGCCAUAAUUGCAGGCAUGCCACAUUUCUUAUUGUGAUAGCGAUUAUGUGGACACUCCAGGCAAAUUUUCGCCGUCACCAUCGCCAUUGUGACACCUCCUCACGUGCAUCUCCCCCUCUAGCCUUGCCGCACACUGCCGUGCCCUCUCUUGGAGAUAAUUUCUGGCAGGGCCAAAAGUUGGUGGCUGCAUGUACGCUGUCUUUGCGUGCACCUAAUGCUGGAGGUUAUGUAAUCUCAAGUUUUGGAGACAGUGAAGGGAGAGGCAGCAGAAGUAUUCGCUCCCCUCAGUUCGCGUUCAUCACGAUAGCGUUAUGAUGGUGUGUGCGUGCAGUCAUCGAAUGAGAUCAGUUCAUGUUUGCUUGUAUUUACAUGACACUAUGCUUGCUAAUUUAAUUAGUAAGUGAACCUUUACUGCAAUUAUAUGGCUGAUAAAACUAUGGUGCUUACAUUUUGCAGUUGUGUAAUAGGCAUUGUUAUUGCAAUGAAUGCGUCACCCUUCAGGCAAAGUGCAGCAUUUCUUGUUUUAAAAUGGGCUGAUUGUUGGAUUUGGGUGCACAUUGUGUUCCUUACAUUGAAACCAUAAAAAUUUAAUGCGUGCUAGGUUUGGGGGAGCAGUAGAAUUGGGUAAAUACUGCCAAUAAAGUUGUGUUAUGUUUUGAUCUUA